GCAGUCGAGCGAACCCUUCGGGGUUAGCGGCGGACGGGUGAGUAACGCGUGGGAACGUGCCCUUCUCUGCGGAAUAGGCUCGGGAAACUGGGUUUAAUACCGCAUACGCCCUUCGGGGGAAAGAUUUAUCGGAGAAGGAUCGGCCCGCGUCUGAUUAGGUAGUUGGUGGGGUAAUGGCCUACCAAGCCUACGAUCAGUAGCUGGUUUGAGAGGAUGAUCAGCCACACUGGGACUGAGACACGGCCCAGACUCCUACGGGAGGCAGCAGUGAGGAAUCUUGGACAAUGGGGGAAACCCUGAUCCAGCCAUGCCGCGUGAGCGAUGAAGGCCUUAGGGUUGUAAAGCUCUUUCAGUCGUGAAGAUAAUGACGGUAGCGACAGAAGAAGCCCCGGCUAACUCCGUGCCAGCAGCCGCGGUAAUACGGAGGGGGCUAGCGUUGUUCGGAAUUACUGGGCGUAAAGCGCGCGUAGGCGGACUAUUAAGUCGGGGGUGAAAUCCCGGGGCUCAACCCCCGGGAA
RNAcentral lists this ribosomal RNA (518 nucleotides) under Rhodovulum sp. YS31A. RNAcentral's name for it is "bacterial SSU rRNA". It matches the Rfam family "Bacterial small subunit ribosomal RNA", at positions 57 to 621 of the family's 1533-position model. Lineage: Bacteria; Pseudomonadati; Pseudomonadota; Alphaproteobacteria; Rhodobacterales; Paracoccaceae. The record is from RNAcentral.